RNAcentral lists this ribosomal RNA (253 nucleotides) under uncultured bacterium. Its description in RNAcentral is "partial 16S ribosomal RNA". It matches the Rfam family "Bacterial small subunit ribosomal RNA", at positions 524 to 776 of the family's 1533-position model. The record is from RNAcentral.
UACGUAGGUGGCAAGCGUUGUCCGGAAUUAUUGGGCGUAAAGCGCGCGCAGGCGGCUUCUUAAGUCUGAUGUGAAAUCUUGCGGCUCAACCGCAAGCGGUCAUUGGAAACUGGGAGGCUUGAGUGCAGAAGAGGAGAGUGGAAUUCCACGUGUAGCGGUGAAAUGCGUAGAGAUGUGGAGGAACACCAGUGGCGAAGGCAGCUCGCUGGAACGGUACUGACGCUGAGGCGCGAAAGCGUGGGGAGCGAACAGG